This 202-nucleotide ribosomal RNA is filed under the name Escherichia coli. RNAcentral describes it as "partial 23S ribosomal RNA". It matches the Rfam family "Bacterial large subunit ribosomal RNA", at positions 2741 to 2925 of the family's 2925-position model. Lineage: Bacteria; Pseudomonadati; Pseudomonadota; Gammaproteobacteria; Enterobacterales; Enterobacteriaceae. The record is from RNAcentral.
CCCGGUAGCUAAAUGCGGAAGAGAUAAGUGCUGAAAGCAUCUAAGCACGAAACUUGCCCCGAGAUGAGUUCUCCCUGACUCCUUGAGAGUCCUGAAGGAACGUUGAAGACGACGACGUUGAUAGGCCGGGUGUGUAAGCGCAGCGAUGCGUUGAGCUAACCGGUACUAAUGAACCGUGAGGCUUAACCUUACAACGCCGAAG